CCAAGCUAUGGAGACAUUGAAGAAUGGGUCCCAGAAAAGAACCAAGCAAUCAAAGACCACUAAAAGCAUUAUGGUCAUAUAAGCAAAUAGAAUGAAAUCAUCAAGCUUUGAAGAAAUUGAAGAGCAGCUGUCAUAAAAAAACCAAUCAAUCAAAGACCACUAAAAGCAAUAGGGUCAUACAACGAAAUAGAAAACAUUGAUGGAUUCCAGCUUGAACAUCAGUUGUUUGGAUAGAUGCAAACAGAGUAAAGGAAGAUUGUGCAAAUAGAACACAUUGAUGGAUUCCAGCUUGAACAUCAGUUGUUUGGAUAGCUGCAAACAGAGUAAAGGAAGAUUGUG
Molecule: long non-coding RNA, 339 nt
Organism: Ipomoea nil (Japanese morning glory)
Lineage: Eukaryota; Viridiplantae; Streptophyta; Magnoliopsida; Solanales; Convolvulaceae
Exons: 4
Source: RefSeq, a predicted model, not a curated record